This 136-nucleotide small nucleolar RNA is filed under the name Aotus nancymaae (Ma's night monkey). Its description in RNAcentral is "Small nucleolar RNA SNORA42/SNORA80 family (ENSANAG00000005933.1)". It matches the Rfam family "Small nucleolar RNA SNORA42/SNORA80 family". Rfam says of the family: The members of this family belong to the H/ACA class of snoRNAs that guide the sites of modification of uridines to pseudouridines. Lineage: Eukaryota; Metazoa; Chordata; Mammalia; Primates; Aotidae. The record is from Rfam by way of RNAcentral.
GCAUGGUAAUGGGCUCAUGGGGGUGUGCUUCUCUGUGGGCCUCAUAGAGUGCCCAUGCCAGUGUAAACUUCAGCCUUGAACCAUUGCCCUGCCUCCUUACCCACAGGCUGUGAGUACUAAAGGGGAUUGCAAAAAA